AGAGUUUGAUCCUGGCUCAGGAUGAACGCUAGCUACAGGCUUAACACAUGCAAGUCGAGGGGAAACGGCAUUUUAGCUUGCUAAGAUGGACGUCGACCGGCGAAUGGGUGAGUAACGCGUAUCCAACCUUCCGUUAAGUAGGGAAUAGCCUUGCGAAAGUAAGAUUAAUGCCCUAUGUGGUGUUUUGAGGACAUCUGAAGAUCACCAAAGGUUUACCGCUUAACGAUGGGGAUGCGUCUGAUUAGGUUGUUGGCGGGGCAACGGCCCACCAAGCCUACGAUCAGUAGGGGUUCUGAGAGGAAGGUCCCCCACAUUGGAACUGAGACACGGUCCAAACUCCUACGGGAGGCAGCAGUGAGGAAUAUUGGUCAAUGGGCGUAAGCCUGAACCAGCCAAGUAGCGUGCGGGAUGAAGGCCCUAUGGGUUGUAAACCGCUUUUUCAGGGGGAUAAAGUGAGUGACGUGUCAUUCAUUGCAGGUACCCUGCGAAUAAGGACCGGCUAAUUCCGUGCCAGCAGCCGCGGUAAUACGGAAGGUCCGGGCGUUAUCCGGAUUUAUUGGGUUUAAAGGGAGCACAGGCCGGCUGUCAAGCGUGUUGUGAAAUGUAGGGGCUCAACCUCUGACUUGCAGCGCGAACUGACGGUCUUGAGUACGCACAACGUUGGCGGAAUUUGUCGUGUAGCGGUGAAAUGCUUAGAUAUAGACGAAGAACUCCGAUUGCGAAGGCAGCUGACGGGAGCGCCACUGACGCUUAAGCUCGAAAGUGCGGGUAAUCGAACAGGAUUAGAUACCCUGGUAGUCCGCACGGUAAACGAUGGAUGCCCGCUGUUUGCACCUGGUGUAAGCGGCUNAGUGAAAACGUUAAGCAUCCCACCUGGGGAGUAANNCCGGCAACANGNNAAACUNAAAGGAAUUGACGGGGGCCCGCACANANGGAGGAACAUGUGGUUUAAUUCGAUGAUACGCGAGGAACCUUACCCGGGCUUGAAUUGCAGAUGAAGGAUCCAGAGAUGGUGACCUUCGGGGCAUCUGUGAAGGUGCUGCAUGGUUGUCGUCAGCUCGUGC
This 1064-nucleotide ribosomal RNA is filed under the name unidentified rumen bacterium 30-9. RNAcentral describes it as "bacterial SSU rRNA". It matches the Rfam family "Bacterial small subunit ribosomal RNA", at positions 8 to 1065 of the family's 1533-position model. Lineage: Bacteria; Pseudomonadati; Bacteroidota; Bacteroidia; Bacteroidales; Bacteroidaceae. The record is from RNAcentral.